This 513-nucleotide ribosomal RNA is filed under the name uncultured bacterium. Its description in RNAcentral is "bacterial SSU rRNA". It matches the Rfam family "Bacterial small subunit ribosomal RNA", at positions 996 to 1509 of the family's 1533-position model. The record is from RNAcentral.
UUUAGCAGAGAUGCUUUAGUGCCUUCGGGAACUCUGAGACAGGUGCUGCAUGGCUGUCGUCAGCUCGUGUUGUGAAAUGUUGGGUUAAGUCCGCAACGAGCGCAACCCUUAUCCUUUGUUGCCAGCACGUAAUGGUGGGAACUCAAAGGAGACUGCCGGUGAUAAACCGGAGGAAGGUGGGGAUGACGUCAAGUCAUCAUGGCCCUUACGAGUAGGGCUACACACGUGCUACAAUGGCGUAUACAAAGAGAAGCGACCUCGCGAGAGCAAGCGGACCUCAUAAAGUGCGUCGUAGUCCGGAUUGGAGUCUGCAACUCGACUCCAUGAAGUCGGAAUCGCUAGUAAUCGUAAAUCAGAAUGUUACGGUGAAUACGUUCCCGGGCCUUGUACACACCGCCCGUCACACCAUGGGAGUGGGUUGCAAAAGAAGUAGAUAGCUUAACCUUCGGGAGGGCGUUUACCACUUUGUGAUUCAUGACUGGGGUGAAGUCGUAACAAGGUAGGCGUAGUGCU